GCGUUGGUGGUACACCGGUGAGCACGGCUGCCUUCCAAGCAGUUGACCCGGGUUCGGUCCCCGGCCAACGCC
Molecule: non-coding RNA, 72 nt
Organism: Tachyglossus aculeatus (Australian echidna)
Lineage: Eukaryota; Metazoa; Chordata; Mammalia; Monotremata; Tachyglossidae
Source: the annotation of a RefSeq genome assembly